UCCACAAUCAGUGGUUGUAAAGCAUGCAGC
This 30-nucleotide non-coding RNA is filed under the name Rattus norvegicus (Norway rat). The record is from RNAcentral. Lineage: Eukaryota; Metazoa; Chordata; Mammalia; Rodentia; Muridae.